RNAcentral lists this ribosomal RNA (253 nucleotides) under uncultured bacterium. RNAcentral's name for it is "partial 16S ribosomal RNA". It matches the Rfam family "Bacterial small subunit ribosomal RNA", at positions 524 to 776 of the family's 1533-position model. The record is from RNAcentral.
UACGUAGGGGGCAAGCGUUGUCCGGAAUCAUUGGGCGUAAAGCGCGCGUAGGCGGCCCGAUAAGUCCGCUGUGAAAGUCAAAGGCUCAACCUUUGAAUGCCGGUGGAUACUGUCGGGCUAGAGUCCGGAAGAGGCGAGUGGAAUUCCUGGUGUAGCGGUGGAAUGCGCAGAUAUCAGGAAGAACACCCGUGGCGAAGGCGGUUCUCUGGGACGGUACUGACGCUGAGACGCGAAAGCGUGGGGAGCGAACAGG